Molecule: ribosomal RNA, 450 nt
Filed under: uncultured bacterium
Lineage: Bacteria
Description: partial 16S ribosomal RNA
Rfam family: Bacterial small subunit ribosomal RNA
Source: RNAcentral
GUGGGGAAUUUUGGACAAUGGGCGCAAGCCUGAUCCAGCAAUGCCGCGUGCAGGAAGAAGGCCUUCGGGUUGUAAACUGCUUUUGUACGGAACGAAAAGGCUCUGGUUAAUACCUGGGGCUCAUGACGGUACCGUAAGAAUAAGCACCGGCUAACUACGUGCCAGCAGCCGCGGUAAUACGUAGGGUGCAAGCGUUAAUCGGAAUUACUGGGCGUAAAGCGUGCGCAGGCGGUUUUGUAAGACAGACGUGAAAUCCCCGGGCUCAACCUGGGAAUGGCGUUUGUGACUGCAAAGCUGGAGUGCGGCAGAGGGGGAUGGAAUUCCGCGUGUAGCAGUGAAAUGCGUAGAUAUGCGGAGGAACACCGAUGGCGAAGGCAAUCCCCUGGGCCUGUACUGACGCUCAUGCACGAAAGCGUGGGGAGCAAACAGGAUUAGAUACCCCGGUAGUCC